RNAcentral lists this microRNA precursor (105 nucleotides) under Hordeum vulgare. Its description in RNAcentral is "microRNA MIR1122". It matches the Rfam family "MIR1120/MIR1122 microRNA precursor family". Lineage: Eukaryota; Viridiplantae; Streptophyta; Magnoliopsida; Poales; Poaceae. The record is from RNAcentral.
UAUGUACUCCCUCCGUCCCAAAAUAACUGUCUUAAGCUUAGUACAAAUUUAUACUAGAUCUAGUAUAAAGUUGAGACAGUUAUUUUGGGACGGAGGGAGUAGUAU